GGCGAGUGAAGCGGCAACAGCUCAAAUUUGAAAUCUGGUCACCUUACGGAGGCCCGAGUUGUAAUUUGAAGAGGAUGCUUUUGGCGAGGUGCCUUCCGAGUGCCCUGGAACGGGACGCCACAGAGGGUGAGAGCCCCGUAUGGUUGGACACCGAGCCUAUGUAAAGCUCCUUCGACGAGUCGAGUAGUUUGGGAAUGCUGCUCAAAAUGGGAGGUAAACCCCUUCUAAAGCUAAAUAUUGGCCAGAGACCGAUAGCGCACAAGUAGAGUGAUCGAAAGAUGAAAAGCACUUUGAAAAGAGAGUUAAACAGCACGUGAAAUUGUUGAAAGGGAAGCGCUUGCGACCAGACUUGCGCCCGUCGGAUCAACCGUCGCUUGUCGGCGGCGCACUCCGGCGGGCUCAGGCCAGCAUCAGUUUUCCCGGGGGGAGAAAGGCGGUGGGAAUGUAGCUCCUAGGAGUGUUAUAGCCCGCCGCGUAAUACCCUCGGGGGGACUGAGGACCGCGCAUCUGCAAGGAU
RNAcentral lists this ribosomal RNA (517 nucleotides) under Microascales sp. SSR-2012a. RNAcentral describes it as "eukaryotic LSU rRNA". It matches the Rfam family "Eukaryotic large subunit ribosomal RNA", at positions 88 to 624 of the family's 3401-position model. Lineage: Eukaryota; Fungi; Ascomycota; Sordariomycetes; Microascales. The record is from RNAcentral.